CCAGGAGAUCAUAUAAAUAAAUAGCCAACUAGUACAGAAGUCCUGAUUGGGCCGUCGAGGCCACCAUGAUAUCUAUACCAAAACUAAAAAUAGGUAUAUAUCAAUACAAUACAUCAAACAACUCACAAGCUUCAGCAAACCAACAACAUAGGUCAAUAUGGUCAUAACGUAGCUAUACACCCCACACACUAGUCUGCAAGCCUCUAAG
This 208-nucleotide long non-coding RNA is filed under the name Solanum tuberosum (potato). RNAcentral describes it as "long non-coding RNA (STUB_LNC003770)". Lineage: Eukaryota; Viridiplantae; Streptophyta; Magnoliopsida; Solanales; Solanaceae. The record is from RNAcentral.